Molecule: ribosomal RNA, 370 nt
Filed under: Clostridium botulinum C/D
Lineage: Bacteria; Bacillati; Bacillota; Clostridia; Eubacteriales; Clostridiaceae
Description: bacterial SSU rRNA
Rfam family: Bacterial small subunit ribosomal RNA
Source: RNAcentral
UUAAAUUGAGAGUUUGAUCCUGGCUCAGGACGAACGCUGGCGGCGUGCCUAACACAUGCAAGUCGAGCGAUGAAACUUCCUUCGGGAAGUGGAUUAGCGGCGGACGGGUGAGUAACACGUGGGUAACCUGCCUCAAAGAGGGGGAUAGCCUCCCGAAAGGGAGAUUAAUACCGCAUAACAUUAUUUUAUGGCAUCAUAAAAUAAUCAAAGGAGCAAUCCGCUUUGAGAUGGACCCGCGGCGCAUUAGCUAGUUGGUGAGGUAACGGCUCACCAAGGCAACGAUGCGUAGCCGACCUGAGAGGGUGAUCGGCCACAUUGGAACUGAGACACGGUCCAGACUCCUACGGGAGGCAGCAGUGGGGAAUAUUGC